This 497-nucleotide ribosomal RNA is filed under the name uncultured bacterium. RNAcentral describes it as "partial 16S ribosomal RNA". It matches the Rfam family "Bacterial small subunit ribosomal RNA", at positions 28 to 507 of the family's 1533-position model. The record is from RNAcentral.
GAUGAACGCUGGCGGCGUGCCUAAUACAUGCCAGUCGAGCGAACAGACGAGGCGCUUGCUCCUCUGACGUUAGCGGCGGACGGGUGAGUAACACGUGGAUCACCUACCUAUAAGACUGGGAUCACUACGGGAAACCGGCUCUAAUCCCGUAUAAUAUAUUGAACCGCAUGGUUCAAUAGUGAAAGACGGUUUUGCUGUCACUUAUCGAUGGAUACGGGCCUCAUUAGCUAGUUGGUACGUUAACGGCCUACCAAGGCAACGAUGCGUAGCCGACCUGAGAGGGUGAUAGGCCACACGGGAACUGAGACACGGUCCAGACUCCUACGGGAGGCAGCAGUAGGGAAUCUUCCGCAAUGGGCGAAAGCCUGACGGAGCAACGCCGAGUCAGUGAUGAAGGUCUUCAGAUCGUAAAACUCUGUUAUUAGGGAAGAACAAAUGUGUAAGUAACUAUGCACGGCUUGACGGUACCUAAUCAGAAAGCCACGGCUAACUACGUG